GUGGACCCAAAUCCACGGGUGUAUCGCAAGGAUGAGUAAUAGUUGCAGGAUACCAAAAAUUUGGCACAUUUGUGCGUCGAUCGGUGAAUUCACGGUAUACUAAACCGGAAGGCCAGGUUGAAGGAUCCAAUGCCUUGCUUUUGAGCGUAGACGACAAACCCACCUUGAAGGAGAUAAAGGUGAGAGUGCUUAUAUCGCGAUCCUUAGGCAGCACCUUUAAUACUAUGACGUCAUCGGUGUCCAAUUGCAGGUGAGCAUUUCUCGGCACAGAGAGCUUGGUAGUGUGCGUAACAACAUCCCUGUUGACCGAUGUCAACAUAUCAGUUUUUAUGGCGGCAAGUGCAUCAUUCAAUCGACGAUCAAAUUCGUUUAAUAACACCGUUUUAAAGUUGGUCAAGAUAGUAGCAAACUCUUCGAGCAACGUGACUUUGCAGCAACGGAGACUGGAACAACUUGCACAGGACCACGAUGACUGUGAACCAGGUUUAACAAUCUCGGACAGGACCUCGACCGAGACGCCUAGGCAAGCUUGAUGAUUCCAGGCACGACGGACAAGAAGCGGCCAUAGCGGCAAACGACAGUAUCGCAACGCACAAACAGGAACGAAAAAACAAGCACGAACAGCGAAUAAAGUCUCACAGCAGUUCACUUGGGGAUAAUCCGGAAAUGAUCACAAAGGCUCAAUUCAAAUAAUGUGCGUGAGCAGAAUAUGAUCAACAGCAAAAUUACACACAAAAAGCCGUAAAAAAACAGAGCGUGAUGUAAACACAGCCGAUUAG
This is a long non-coding RNA of Anopheles moucheti, 779 nucleotides long. RefSeq lists it as uncharacterized. The transcript is spliced from 3 exons. Lineage: Eukaryota; Metazoa; Arthropoda; Insecta; Diptera; Culicidae. The record is from RefSeq and is a predicted model, not a curated record.